UAUAUGUUUUUAGGGCUGACCAUUUGGCACCGGAUGACUAAUUGGUGUGCUCUUCUCUGAGGAAGACCACUUUUCCUGCUCCCAGCUUUCCUCAGUUGCUUGUAGUUCUUUGUGUAGGAUUGAGUCCUGGUGGGCUUUUCCCUACCCACUUUGGCAUAUCUCUUGAUAUCAUACUUGAUCAGCUCAUGUUGAGGCAGUCAUGUUGGUGACACUUUAUGGGUGUAGCUGUUGACAUUGGUAGGAGACAACGCCUCACAGCAAACUCCCUGAUCCUCUGGCUCUUAACAAUCUUUCCGGCCCCUCUUCAACAAUGUUCCCUGAGCCUUAGGUGUGGGAGUGUUUUGUGAUGUCUCCAGUGGGGCAGGGCUCCACAGCUCUGCAUUUUGAUUGGCUGUGGUUUUCUGAAGUGGUUUCCAUCUGCUGCAAAGAGAAGUUUCCUUGGUGAGGGGAGAAGACUACACUUGUCUGUGAGUAGAAGGAAAGUUGUUUAUAGAUUGUUGUUAGGGAUUAUGUUGGAUUAGUAAAUUAGGCUGUAGAUUCUCCUUUAGUGACCUUAACUUCACUAGCACUGAGCAGUUAGCUAGGUUUCCAGGCGUGGUCCCCUCUUGUUGAGUGGGUCUCAAGUCCAAUUAGAGAGCUCUUGGUCACACCAAGCUGUGUGUGCCACUGCUGCACUCUUAGGGUCAUCAUGUCACUCUGGUUGUUGAUGUGAUUCAUAGGGGUCACAGUAGGGUGGGACUGUUGGUUCCCUCCUUCCUUUGGAAGCUAGCAUGCAUAUAACAUGAAUGCUAGUCCCCAGGGAAGGGGCACUCAGGACAGUUUCAGCUCAAGUGUUUCUGGGCUGUUUCUGGAGUGUAUGGCGUCUUCAGCAAUAGGGACUGACUUUCCAUGUCUGGGGCCCACCAAGGGCAACUGCAAUAGCCUAUAAUAUUGUGAGAGUCUCUUGGACACCCAAAGCCAACAACUCUGGCUUCUCAUGUUUGAUAUUGGCUUUUCUGUUAGGUGGUCUUUGGCUAUUGAAGGGAGCACUGUAGGUCCAGAUGACAAAUGUUCAUUAAAACUGUAUAUGUCUAAUUAUACACAGAUUUAAGUGCAUUUUGGUAAAUAGUUAAUAGUAUGAUUCCUUGAAGCUUUUUCAGAUAUCCUUACUAUUCUUUGUCCCCUCCCUCCUUUUCCUUCCUCCCUCUCCCUGAAGAGCCUCCCCCCCAUUUCCCCAUCAGAUCACUUUUACCCUGCUAUUCCCCUCUACCUCCCACCUUCUUCUGCAAUUACCUCCCUCCCCCUCCCUAAAGAGCCUCACCCUUCCCAUUCCUUAGGGUGAGUUCUUACAGCAUCUGCUUUCAGCAGCUUCUGUGGAAGGGUCAUUGGUCCUCAUAGCCCUGGGUGGUUCUCUAAGCCAUGGUUGUUCCUGGAACCACAGAAUUCAUCUUGUGGCCCUCCGGACUCCUCAUUUGCUGGGCAGGAGGUACUCAAGCAGCCUCUUUGUUUUUCUUACUUUCCUCGUCUUUGUCAGUCUCUACCCUGAGAUCUGUGCUCAGCAACUGUGGAAGUGAAGGAGGGAAGGGGGAGGGAAUGAGAGAGGAGAGGGAAGGGCCAGAGUGAGAGGAGGAAAAAGGGAAGGAAUGAGGGAGGAGAAGGAAAGACAGAGGGAAGGAAGGAUGAAGAGAGAAAGACAGGACAGGAAGAAGGGAGGGAGGGAGGAAGGGUGGGUAGGUGGGUUUGAGGUAGACAUUGCAUGAGAAGUUACUGUAGCCAGCUCAGACUUUUUGUGGCCUAGAGAGAAGUGUGCCCUGCUUUUUAGCCUCAGCGAUCCAUCCUGGACUCCAGAGUGAAGUACACCCUGUGACUCUGAGGUGGGUGAUCGAGCGACGGUCACGGCAGCUGUUACCAUCGCCACUGUGAAGGCAGUGGGCAAUGUAGAGAACAUCCAGAACUGUGGGCCUGGAUGGGAGGAAAACCAGAUUCAUACUGGAUGAAAUGAUGGAUGGAGGAGUAGAGGUCAGGCUCAGAGCUGCAUCACUGUCCCCAGGUGCCCAAGCCACAAAGGAGGAGUCUACUCAGCAUGUGGUGGAUUUGUAGUUGCCUUUGAAACUCUUUUUAAGAAUUAGAAGUUGCAGCUGGGUGGUGGUGGUGCACACCUUCAAUCCCAGAACUUAGGAGGCAGAGGCAGGUGGAUCUCUGUGAGUUUGAGGCCAGCCUGGUCUACAGAGUGAGUUCCAGGACUGCUAUGACUGCUUCACAGAGAGACCCUAUCUCAAAAAACCAAAAGAAGAAGAAGAAGAAGAAGAAGAAGAAGAAGAAGAAGAAGAAGAAGAAGAAGAAGAAGAAGAAGAAGAAGAAGAAGAAUUAGGAGUUCCCCAUUCAAGAAUGAAUUUCCAGCAGAAGAUCAAAGGAACAGCUUUGUCCAGUCGCUUAUAUUAAUUCUAAAAGAGAAGAAAGAAGGAAAGGAAAGAGGUGGGGGCUCUGGCUGGCGUGACUGCACACUUGCAUGCUGAAGAGCUCCAUGCCCCUUCUCAAGCAGAAUACAUAAGAAUGUGGUGAGAAUUUUAAGAUAAAUUAUCUCUGAUCACAUUUCUCUAUUGUACACUGGGUAAACAUUUACAGUAAAUCGUUUGUAAAUUUCACCCUUGGAAAAA
This is a non-coding RNA of Peromyscus maniculatus bairdii (prairie deer mouse), 2636 nucleotides long. The record is from RefSeq and is a predicted model, not a curated record. NCBI's taxonomy places the organism in Eukaryota, Metazoa, Chordata, Mammalia, Rodentia, Cricetidae.